RNAcentral lists this ribosomal RNA (468 nucleotides) under uncultured bacterium. RNAcentral describes it as "partial 16S ribosomal RNA". It matches the Rfam family "Bacterial small subunit ribosomal RNA", at positions 28 to 507 of the family's 1533-position model. The record is from RNAcentral.
GACGAACGCUGGCGGCGUGCUUAACACAUGCAAGUCGAACGGAAAGGCCCUGCUUUUGUGGGGUGCUCGAGUGGCGAACGGGUGAGUCACACGUGAGUCACCUGCCCUUGACUUUGGUAUAACUUCAGGAAACUGGGGCUAAUACCGGAUAGGCGCUCCCGCUGCAGGGUGGGGUGUGGAGAGUUUUGGCGGUUGGGUAUGGACUCGCGGCAUAUCAGCUUGUUGGUGGGGUAAUGGCUUACCAAGGCCUUGACGGGUAGCCGGCCUGAGAGGGUGACCGGCCACAUUGGGACUGAGAUACGGCCCAGACUCCUACGGGAGGCAGCAGUGGGGAAUAUUGCACAAUGGGCGGAAGCCUGAUGCAGCAACGCCGCGUGCGGGAUGACGGCCUUCGGGUUGUAAACCGCUUUCGCCUGUGACGAAGCGUGAGUGACGGUAAUGGGUAAAGAAGCACCGGCUAACUACGUG